RNAcentral lists this long non-coding RNA (450 nucleotides) under Ictidomys tridecemlineatus (thirteen-lined ground squirrel). RNAcentral describes it as "lncRNA (ENSSTOG00000030845.1)". The record is from RNAcentral. Lineage: Eukaryota; Metazoa; Chordata; Mammalia; Rodentia; Sciuridae.
CCUGCAUCCUGGUUGCAUACAUUUACAGGACUCGAAUCUUAGCAGCUACAUGUCAAAAAUGCCUGGUACCUACAGGAUAAUGUGCAUAUAUCUGCUCUAUGCAUAGGAAAGAUAUUAAUACAUAUUUUCAUCUGGAAAUUUGAUAGGCUUCAAAAAGAAUCUGGGAAUAUAGGACAAAAACAGAAUGAAUGGAAGAAGGGGAAAGAGGAGAGAGUUGAGAGGUAUCAUGGGAAAUCAUCCCUGAAGACUUUGAGGCAAAAAUAGGUCAAUGCUUCAAAAAGCCAGUCAAUGCCCAUUCCUGCUACUCUAACCUGGCUUCAUCCACUGUCUUGGAGAGCAGCACAGCAGCUUUUAAGGGACUACAGUUCUUCUAACUCCAAGGACAGAUAUGGAGAAGAAAUUGCUGAAAAGGGGGAAAGAACAAUGACAGAUAUUGGGCAGAUAUGUUAG